GACGAACGCUGGCGGCGUGCUUAACACAUGCAAGUCGAACGGAAAGGCCCUGCUUUGGUGGGGUGCUCGAGUGGCGAACGGGUGAGUAACACGUGAGUAACCUGCCCUCGACUUUGGGAUAACUUCAGGAAACUGGGGCUAAUACCGGAUAGGAGCUCCUGCUGCAUGGUGGGGGUUGGAAAGUUUCGGCGGUUGGGGAUGGACUCGCGGCUUAUCAGCUUGUUGGUGGGGUAGUGGCUUACCAAGGCUUUGACGGGUAGCCGGCCUGAGAGGGUGACCGGCCACAUUGGGAUUGAGAUACGGCCCGGACUCCUACGGGAGGCAGGAGUGGGGAAUAUUGCACAAGGGGCGGAAGCCUGAUGCAGCAACGCCGCGUGCGGGAUGACGGCCUUCGGGUUGUAAUCCGCUUUCGCCUGUGACGAAGCGUGAGUGACGGUAAUGGGUAAAGAAGCACCGGCUAACUACGUG
This 468-nucleotide ribosomal RNA is filed under the name uncultured bacterium. RNAcentral's name for it is "partial 16S ribosomal RNA". It matches the Rfam family "Bacterial small subunit ribosomal RNA", at positions 28 to 507 of the family's 1533-position model. The record is from RNAcentral.